UACGUAGGGUGCAAGCGUUAAUCGGAAUUACUGGGCGUAAAGCGUGCGCAGGCGGUUCUGUAAGCCAGAUGUGAAAAGCCCCCGGGCGUCAACCUGGGAACGUGCGUUUGGUAACUACAAGACUAGAGUGUGUCAGAGGGGGGUGGGAAUUCCGCGUGUAGCAGUGAAAUGCGUAGAGAUGCGGAGGAACACCAUGGCGAAGGCANCCCCUGGGCUACACUGACGCUCAUGCACGAAAGCGUGGGGAGC
Molecule: ribosomal RNA, 249 nt
Filed under: uncultured bacterium
Lineage: Bacteria
Description: partial 16S ribosomal RNA
Rfam family: Bacterial small subunit ribosomal RNA
Source: RNAcentral